AUGCCGAGGGCCGGGGCGUGCUGGGGACCCUGCUGUGGUUCCCCCCGUGUGCUCGGUGCAGGUGGGGAAACUGAGGCAGGGGUGAGGCUGGGGAGGGCAGGGUCUGUCCCCCACCCCUCACAGCCCCGCUGCAGCCCCACGGCGCGCUGGGUGCUGCCUGCAGGGCUGGGUGCUGGGGGGGUGCUGGGGGGGUGCAGCGCUGCAGCCAGGGCUGGGAGCAAUGUGGGUGCAGAGCUGGGUGCAGGCGGGGUGCAGGGUGCGUGCGGGGCAUUUGUAGGGUGGGUGCAAUGCUGGGUGCAGGAUGGGUGCAGGAUGGGUGCAGGCUGGGUGCAGGACUGGUUGCAGUGCAGGGUGGGUGCAGGAUGGUUGCAGGAGGGGUGCAGGAUGGUUGCAGGACGGGUGCAGGAUGGUUGCAGGCUGUUCCAGGCUGGCUGCAGGCUGGGUGCAGGCUGGGUGCAGGGCUGGGCUCUGCACACCGCAGUGGGGGAGGGGUUGGCGCUGCAGCCCAGAGCUGGGUGUGCNNNNNNNNNNNNNNNNNNNNNNNNNNNNNNNNNNNNNNNNNNNNNNNNNNNNNNNNNNNNNNNNNNNNNNNNNNNNNNNNNNNNNNNNNNNNNNNNNNNNGGGGGGGGGGGAAGCUCGGAGGUCGCUGGUGAAAGUCAAAAGCAUUGCAGUAAAAUGGUAAUCAAUCUCCCCAGUCGAUUGUGCCAGGACCUUCGAAGCAUUACGGAGAGAUUCCUCCCAACUGCUCCCUACGGCAGCAGCGUGCGGGGGGGGGGCCGUGCUGCAGCCCUGCAGCCCCAGCCCCGUGGCCCCCACCCCUGCGCCCCCCCAGCCCUGCGCACCCAGGCACUGGGGGCACGGGGAGCCAGGAGGACGGGGCCCCUUGCACCCUUUUGGGGUGCUCUGGGAUGGGGGGGACCUCGCAGCGAUGGCCCCAGCGGGCUGGGGGGGGGUGCAGGGGGGGGCCUGGGCUCUGCCCUGCCGCAAGCUUCCCCCAGCAGUGCCCUUUGGCUGAGCCCAGCGGGGCGAGCAGAUGGGCGCCGGGGUGCGGGAGGGGGGGGGUCAGGCAGCGAGCCCUGGAGGGGGGGCACCGCGCUCCCCCUGGCACGCCGCAGCAGCCCCCCCAGGCCUGGCAGCCGCUUAUCUCCCCUCCCCAGCCCGGCGAGAGGCAGAUGGCACCAAUCUGCCGGGGGAACCCGUGCCAGGGCGCCCGGCCCGAGCGCGCCCGCUGCCCGCUGCCCGUGCCAGGCCGGCGGUGCCAAGCGGCCGUGCAGCUCCCCCCCGGUUGGAGGAGCAGGCAUUACCCCCCCCCCCGAGCAAAAAUAUCCAUGGGGAGGCUGUCGGGGUGCGCAAUAUUUGGGGUCUGCCCUUCGCAGACACACAUGGGGCGCUGGCGGGCAGGUGGGCCCUGAUAACCCCCCCCAGCAGCCAGAUAAACACACGCUCCCCCCCCUUAGCACCCCCCCACACACACCAGGUAUCGCUCCCCUCGCAGCCAAACCGCCGGGGGAGCCGGGGCUGAGGUCCUGGAGAUAGGCAGAGCCCCGAGGCUGGGAGGGGAGACGCCCCCCCACCCCCAAACACAACGCGCACAAUGUUAGUAGCCAGCAGAGAAUCUCCAGGCUGCGGGAGCUGCGUGUUGGAAAGGGGACGGCAGCGGUGCGAGGGGCACACGGGGGGGGUGCUGGUCCCAGGGUUCCUGUCCCCUGCACCGUCACCCCCCCGGGGGUGUCCCCAUGGCAAGGGCCAUGCUCCUGUCCCCUCUCCGUGCCGGUGCCCGCGGUGGUUUCGGCACGUGGAGCUCCCAGCUCGACGCGCCCUUGGGAGGUCAGGGUGUCCCCGGCACCCCGCGGUGCCCAGCCCCGUGUCCCCAUGUCCCCAGGGGCAGGGGGCUCUGCCAGCACCCCCCUGGGCCAGAACAAGCCUCGGGCACAGCGUCCCCAGUGCCCCGAGCGGCCCCGUGCUCAGCGAGCGGAGCCCUCGGGACCUGGCACCGGGUGCGAGGGGAACGUCCCCAUCCUCGGGCACGGCGAGGGGACCGGGCUGCCAGCCGUGCCGCUGGCCCCCCGAUGAAUAAAAGAUGAACGCCGU
RNAcentral lists this long non-coding RNA (2091 nucleotides) under Anas platyrhynchos platyrhynchos (common mallard). Its description in RNAcentral is "lncRNA (ENSAPLG00000021410.1)". The record is from RNAcentral. Lineage: Eukaryota; Metazoa; Chordata; Aves; Anseriformes; Anatidae.